Molecule: ribosomal RNA, 2271 nt
Filed under: Prochlorococcus sp. scB241_526D20
Lineage: Bacteria; Bacillati; Cyanobacteriota; Cyanophyceae; Synechococcales; Prochlorococcaceae
Description: bacterial LSU rRNA
Rfam family: Bacterial large subunit ribosomal RNA
Source: RNAcentral
ACUUAUAGGCACUGGCGGGUUAAACCGGAAAUGGUGGAGCCACAGCGAAAGCGAGUCUUAAUAGGGCGUUUGUCAGUGUUUAUAGACCCGAACCCUGGUGAUCUAACCAUGGCCAGGAUGAAGCUUGGGUGAUACCAAGUGGAGGUCCGAACCGACUGAAGUUGAAAAUUCAGCGGAUGAGCUGUGGUUAGGGGUGAAAUGCCAAUCGAACCAGGAGCUAGCUGGUUCUCCCCGAAAUACGUUGAGGCGUAGCGUCUAGUGCUCCAGCAGGGGGGUAAAGCAACCAUUUCGGUGCGGGCUGCGAAAGCGGUACCAAAUCGAUAUGAACUCUGAAUACCCUGUGUGUAACUAGGCAGUCAGACUGUGGGGGAUAAGCUCCAUAGUCAAGAGGGAAACAGCCCAGACCGCCAGCUAAGGUCCCAAAAUUAACGCUAAGUGAUAAAGGAGGUGGGAUUGCCCAGACAACCAGGAGGUUUGCCUAGAAGCAGCCAUCCUCAAAGGAGUGCGUAAUAGCUCACUGGUCGAGCGAUCCUGCGCCGAAAAUGAACGGGGCUAAGCGUUAUACCGAAGCUGCGGAUAAAUUUAUUUAUGGUAGGGGAGCGUUCUAUGUAGGGUGAAGCGUUAGCGUAAGCGGACGUGGACAGCAUAGAAGUGAGAAUGUCGGCUUGAGUAGCGAAAACAUGGGUGAGAAUCCCAUGCCCCGAAACCCUAAGGGUUCCUCCGGCAGGCUCGUCCGCGGAGGGUUAGUCUGGACCUAAGGCGAGGCCGAAAGGCGUAGUCGAUGGAUAACAGGUCAAUAUUCCUGUACCAGAUGUGUUUUGAGAAGGGGGACGGAGAAGGCUAACCAGGCCAGAUGUUGGUUACUGGUUCAAGCGUUCGAGGCUUUGAGAGAUGGAGAAAACAUCUUGAGCUAAGGCGUGAGUACGAGCUGCUACGGCAGCGAAGUUGGUGAUGUCAUGCUUCCAAGAAAAGCCCUAUACUCGUUAAGACACAAAUGCCAGUACCCGAAACCGACACAGGUGGGGUGGUAGAGAAUACCGAGGGGCGCGAGAUAACUCUCUCUAAGGAACUCGGCAAAAUGGCCCCGUAACUUCGGGAGAAGGGGUGCCAGCGAGAGCUGGUCGCAGUGAAGAGGCGCAAGCGACUGUUUACCAAAAACACAGGUCUCCGCUAAGUCGCAAGACGAUGUAUGGGGGCUGACACCUGCCCAGUGCCGGAAGGUUAAGGAAGCUGGUUAGCUUUAUGUGAAGCUGGCGACUGAAGCCCCGGUGAACGGCGGCCGUAACUAUAACGGUCCUAAGGUAGCGAAAUUCCUUGUCGGGUAAGUUCCGACCCGCACGAAAGGUGUAACGAUUUGCGCGCUGUCUCGGAGAGAGGCUCGGCGAAAUAGAAUUGUCUGUGAAGAUGCGGACUACAUACACCCGGACAGAAAGACCCUAUGAAGCUUUACUGUAGUUUGAUAUUGUGCUCGGGCUCUGAAUGCGCAGAAUAGGUGGGAGACGUUGAAAUAGUGCUUGUGGGUACUAUUGAGUCAUCGGUGAGAUACCACUCUUUUAGAGCUAGGGUUCUAACGCUUACCCGUUAUCCGGGAAGCGGACAGUAUCUGAUGGGCAGUUUGACUGGGGCGGUCGCCUCCUAAAAGGUAACGGAGGCGCACAAAGGUUCCCUCAGGCUGGUUGGAAAUCAGUCGUUGAGUGCAAAAGCAGAAGGGAGCUUGACUGUGAGACCUACAAGUCGAACAGGGACGAAAGUCGGUUUUAGUGAUCCGACGGUUCUGCGUGGAAGGGCCGUCGCUCAACGGAUAAAAGUUACUCUAGGGAUAACAGGCUGAUCUCCCCCAAGAGUUCACAUCGACGGGGAGGUUUGGCACCUCGAUGUCGGCUCAUCGCAACCUGGGGCUGAAGUCGGUCCCAAGGGUUGGGCUGUUCGCCCAUUAAAGCGGUACGCGAGCUGGGUUCAGAACGUCGUGAGACAGUUCGGUCCAUAUCCGGUGUAUGCGCAGGAAUAUUGAGAGGAUUUCUCCCUAGUACGAGAGGACCGGGAGGAACGCACCUCUGGUGUGCCAGUUAUCGUGCCAACGGUAAACGCUGGGUAGCCAUGUGCGGAGUGGAUAACCGCUGAAAGCAUCUAAGUGGGAAGCCCACCUCAAGAUGAGUAUUGCCAUGGCUUAAGCCAGUAAGGUCACGGGAAGAACACCCGUUGAUAGGCUCUACGUGGAAGCUUGGUAACAAGUGCAGCGGAGGAGUACUAAUAGACCGAGGGCUUGACCAA